UACGGAGGAUGCAAGCGUUAUCCGGAUUUAUUAGGUUUAAAGGGUGCGUAGGUGGGCGUUUAAGUCAGUGGUUAAAGCCAUUAGCUUAACUAAUGUAUGCCAUUGAUACUGGAUGUCUUGAAUGUGGUAGAGGUAGGCGGAAUGUGUUGUGUAGCGGUGAAAUGCUUAGAUAUGACGCAGAACUCCGAUUGCGAAGGCAGCUUACUGGGAUGCAACUGACGCUGAGGCACGAAAGCGUGGGUAUCAAACAGGAUUA
This 256-nucleotide ribosomal RNA is filed under the name uncultured prokaryote. RNAcentral describes it as "partial 16S ribosomal RNA". It matches the Rfam family "Bacterial small subunit ribosomal RNA", at positions 524 to 780 of the family's 1533-position model. The record is from RNAcentral.